AUGGUGGCCGGCACGCAGUACCGUGGCAUGUUCGAGGAGCGCAUGAAGAACGUGAUCAAGCGGGCAGAGGCGUCCAACGGCAAGAUCAUACUGUUCGUGGACGAGAUGCACAUGCUCUACUCCGCCGGCAGCAGCCGGACCAACUGCACGAGCGCCUCCAACAUGUUCAAGCCGGCGCUGGCCCGCGGCCGCAUCCGCUGCGUGGGGGCAACCACCUUUGACGAGUACCGCCAGUACGUGGAGAAGGACCCUGCGCUCGAGCGACGGUUUCAGAAAGUGCACGUCGGGGAGCCGAGCAUUGAGGCCACCAUUGCCAUCUUGCGGGGGCUAAAGCAACGAUUCCAAGACCACCAUGGACUCGAAAUUCAGGAUGCCGCUCUCGUCGCUGCUGCGCACCUCGGCGCCCGCUACAUCACCGGUCGUCAAUUUCCAGAUAAGGCAAUUGAUCUGAUCGAUGAGGCAUGUACUUUCAUAGCCAGAAAGAUGAAGCAGAUUGACAACACUACUCCCAGUAGCUUAAACGAUGCAAAUAGAGUGAAGAAAGCAAUUGUUGAUCCAAAUGAUGUCGCGCAGGUUGUGAGUCGAUGGACUGGAAUUCCUGUCGCUACACUUUGUGAAGAGGAGAAGGACAAAUUAAUCCACAUUCGAGACAGAGAGCGGGUUAUUGGUCAAGAUGAAGCGGUCAAUUUGGUUGCGCAAGCGGUGUUACGCUCUAGGGCCGGCCUUGAUCAACCUAGCCAACCGACAGGAUCUUUCCUCUUUUUAGGCCUGUCUGGUGUUGGAAAGACAGAGCUUGCAAAAGCUCUUGCCAAGCAACUAUUUGACAGUGAAAAGAUGCUUGUUCGGGUUGACAUGUCUGAAUAUGCUACUGUUGGGUCUGUAACACGUCUCAUUGGAGCACCUCCAAGCUAUAUUGGAUAUGAAGAUAGCGGACAAUUGACUGAAAAGGUGAGAAAGCAUCCAUAUAGCCUUAUCCUUUUUGAUGAGGUUGAGAAGGCACAUCCCUCGGUGUUUAAUAUUUUUCUUCAAAUUCUUGAUGAUGGCAUGUUGACUGAUGGCAAAGGUAGAACUGUUGACUUUAAGAAUACUAUCAUCAUUAUGACCUCAAAUCUUGGAUCAGAAUACCUUACAACAAAAAUGACUGGAGAAAAGCCAUUAGAAGUUGCAAGGAACCUCGUCACGGAAAAGGUUCAGAAGUUCUUCAAGCCCGAACUUCUCAACAGGAUUAGUGAGAUUGUGAUAUUCGAGUCACUUUCCUAUGAACAAAUGAAAGAGGUUGCAAAAAUUCAGAUUAAGAACGUUGUAGCUAGAGUAGCCAAUAAGGGCAUCUCUCUGUCUACAACCAAUGCCUUGUUGGACGUCAUAAUGUCGGAGUCACACAAUCCGAUGUAUGGUGCAAGACCCAUAAGAAGGUGGGUGGAAAGAAAUGUGAUAACAAUGCUCUCUGAGAUGCUAGUCAAAGGUGAGGCUGGUGAAGGUUCAGCAAUCUUCAUCAAUGCAACAGAUGACAAGAAGGGGUUGAAAUAUGAAGUGGUGAAGAUGCCGGUCCUAGACUUUUCUAGUGCGUGA
This 1569-nucleotide ribosomal RNA is filed under the name Triticum aestivum (bread wheat). RNAcentral describes it as "partial small subunit ribosomal RNA". The record is from RNAcentral. Lineage: Eukaryota; Viridiplantae; Streptophyta; Magnoliopsida; Poales; Poaceae.